RNAcentral lists this small RNA (429 nucleotides) under Pan troglodytes (chimpanzee). Its description in RNAcentral is "sense overlapping". The record is from RNAcentral. Lineage: Eukaryota; Metazoa; Chordata; Mammalia; Primates; Hominidae.
ACAAAACAAAAAACGAUGGGCUUUCUGUCAUGUGCCUGAGAACUGGGAGGAAGCUGGAGAAAAGAUGCCCUCUGAAUCUUUGUGUUUGGCUGCCCAGGCUCGCCUUGACACCGAAUGGUUGAAAACAGAUAUACAGAUGAUAGUGUCGAACCAAGUGGAACAAAGAAAGAAGAUCUGAAUGACAAAGAGAAAAAAGAUGAAGACGAAACUCCUGCACCUGUAUAUAGGGCCAAGUCAAUUCUGGAGACCUGGGUGUGGGUCAAGCAACCAGGUAAUCUUCUGAGUUUUGACACUUUGGAAAGCUUGAUCUGACGCUCCUUUUCUAAAUAACUUGGAUGGAUUAUUCGUAUUUUUUGGUAACAAUUUUAAAAAAUGUAAUUAAAAAAAUUUAAAUAUCGUGGUAAAAUAUACAUACCGUAAAACUUGCCA